Molecule: ribosomal RNA, 834 nt
Filed under: Eremastrella crystallifera
Lineage: Eukaryota; Fungi; Ascomycota; Lecanoromycetes; Lecanorales; Psoraceae
Description: partial large subunit ribosomal RNA
Source: RNAcentral
CWCKGAACGCCUUCGCUAUUCUCUACUUGCUUACUUGUGUUAGUAUUUAGGUACGGUUGUGUCAUUAGUAAUCAUUAUUAGGUAUCAUCAUUAUAUAUUAAUAGAAGUUUAGAUUUUUCCAGAACACUUAUCACUUUAGCACUUGCUAUUUCUAACUGUGCACAAGUGUUAUUUGUCAAUAAACUCAAGAUUUACUCAUCGUUUAGUCCCUUAGGAACUAGGUGGAUGAUACCACUAGAUAAACUUAGAGGCCGUUACUUUAUUAAAUACCAUAAGCUUUAGGCGAGGGCGGCAGUACCUACCCUUUAUCGUUACUCAUGUCAGCAUUCUCACUUGGGUUACCAAUCUAAUCAGAUGUUUUUAAUCUUAAAAAGAAAAAGUCUUAGGUAUGCCCAAUGUUCCGCUACCCCAUAAAUACAAUAUAUAACUUGUAUAUAUAAAUAAAUAUGGACAAGGUUUCGGUAUCUUGUUUAGAUCCGUUAAAUUUUAAGUGCUUUUUUCCAAAAAAACUAAUGAUAUAGUUUAUUUUUUUUUUUCUUAAGCCAGUGCUCUGCUACGAGGUCUUCAAAAAAUGGCCGCUCCUAAGCCUAUUCCCUGGACAUAUUGGAAAGAAACUACCUUCAUUUCACUUAACAAAAAUUUUGGAACCUUAUUUACUCUUGUUCUGGGCUGUUUCCCUUUAGACAUACAACCUUAUCGUACUAUGUCUGACUAUUCAAUAUUCAUCAUAACCCUUCCGAGAACAAAUACUCACUGAUAAAGCCUUCACGACCCCCCAAUGUCUACAAAUAACAUAUUAAAACAUGCAAGUUGUAUGAGAUCACAAUUCUGUAC